CGCGGCCUAUCAGCUUGUUGGUGAGGUAAAGGCUCACCAAGGCAUCGACGGGUAGCUGGUCUGAGAGGACGAUCAGCCACACUGGGACUGAGACACGGCCCAGACUCCUACGGGAGGCAGCAGUAGGGAAUCUUGCGCAAUGGGCGAAAGCCUGACGCAGCAACGCCGCGUGGGGGAAGAAGGCUCUAGGGUCGUAAACCCCUUUCAGCAGGGACGAAAAUGACGGUACCUGCAGAAGAAGCGCCGGCCAACUACGUGCCAGCAGCCGCGGUAAUACGUAGGGCGCAAGCGUUGUCCGGAUUUAUUGGGCGUAAAGGGCUCGUAGGCGGUCUAGUAAGUCAGAUGUGAAAGGUUGGGGCUCAACCCUAAGACUGCAUCCGAUACUGCUAUGACUAGAGUCCGGUAGAGGAGUGUGGAAUUCCUGGUGUAGCGGUGAAAUGCGCAGAUAUCAGGAGGAACACCGACGGCGAAGGCAGCACUCUGGACCGGUACUGACGCUCGGGAGCGAAAGCGUGGGUAGCAAACAGGAUUAGAUACCCUGGUAGUCCACGCCGUAAACGUUGGGCACUAGGUGUGGGGCCUUAUCAACGGGUUCCGUGCCGUAGCUAACGCAUUAAGUGCCCCGCCUGGGGAGUACGG
This 639-nucleotide ribosomal RNA is filed under the name uncultured Actinomycetes bacterium. RNAcentral's name for it is "bacterial SSU rRNA". It matches the Rfam family "Bacterial small subunit ribosomal RNA", at positions 232 to 885 of the family's 1533-position model. The record is from RNAcentral. Lineage: Bacteria; Bacillati; Actinomycetota; Actinomycetes.